UAGAAUAUGGUGUAUGGAGGUAGCACGAAGAAUUUUGAGUUCUUAGGAUUAGGUUCAAGUCCUAUAAUUCUAG
RNAcentral lists this transfer RNA (73 nucleotides) under Sundasciurus tahan. Its description in RNAcentral is "tRNA-Gln". It matches the Rfam family "tRNA". From Rfam's summary of the family: Transfer RNA (tRNA) molecules are approximately 80 nucleotides in length. Their secondary structure includes four short double-helical elements and three loops (D, anti-codon, and T loops). Lineage: Eukaryota; Metazoa; Chordata; Mammalia; Rodentia; Sciuridae. The record is from RNAcentral.